GAUGAACGCUGGCGGCGUGCCUAAUACAUGCAAGUCGAGCGAACGGACGAGAAGCUUGCUUCUCUGAUGUUAGCGGCGGACGGGUGAGUAACACGUGGAUAACCUACCUAUAAGACUGGGAUAACUUCGGGAAACCGGAGCUAAUACCGGAUAAUAUUUUGAACCGCAUGAUUCAAAAGUGAAAGACGGUCUUGCUGUCACUUAUAGAUGGAUCCGCGCUGCAUUAGCUAGUUGGUAAGGUAACGGCUUACCAAGGCAACGAUGCAUAGCCGACCUGAGAGGGGGAUCGGCCACACUGGAACUGAGACACGGUCCAGACUCCUACGGGAGGCAGCAGUAGGGAAUCUUCCGCAAUGGGCGAAAGCCUGACGGAGCAACGCCGCGUGAGUGAUGAAGGUCUUCGGAUCGUAAAACUCUGUUAUUAGGGAAGAACAUAUGUGUAAGUAACUGUGCACAUCUUGACGGUACCUAAUCAGAAAGCCACGGCUAACUACGUG
Molecule: ribosomal RNA, 497 nt
Filed under: uncultured bacterium
Lineage: Bacteria
Description: partial 16S ribosomal RNA
Rfam family: Bacterial small subunit ribosomal RNA
Source: RNAcentral